Molecule: ribosomal RNA, 519 nt
Filed under: uncultured eukaryote
Lineage: Eukaryota
Description: SSU rRNA
Rfam family: Eukaryotic small subunit ribosomal RNA
Source: RNAcentral
AGGGCACCACCAGGAGUGGAGCCUGCGGCUUAAUUUGACUCAACACGGGAAAACUCACCCGGCCCGGACACCGUAAGGAUUGACAGAUUGAUAGCUCUUUCUUAAUUCGGUGGAUGGUGGUGCAUGGCCGUUCUUAGUUGGUGGAUUGAUUUGUCUGGUUAAUUCCGAUAACGAACGAGACUCUUGCCUACUAAAUAGACGGCGUAUCGAAACGUACGUCGAGCUUCUUAGAGGGACAAGCGGCGUCUAGCCGCAUGAAACAGAGCAAUAACAGGUCUGUGAUGCCCUUAGAUGUCCGGGGCUGCACGCGCGCUACACUGAAAGAAUCAGCGUGCGCGAACGCCUGGUUCGGAAGGACCGGGUAACCCGAUGAAAUUCUUUCGUGCUUGGGAUAGGGAAUUGAAAUUAUUUCCCUCGAACGAGGAAUUCCCAGUAAAUGCGGGUCAUAAGCUCGCGUUGAUUACGUCCCUGCCCUUUGUACACACCGCCCGUCGCUACUACCGAUUGGAUGACUUAGUG